This 637-nucleotide unclassified non-coding RNA is filed under the name Hevea brasiliensis (rubber tree). Lineage: Eukaryota; Viridiplantae; Streptophyta; Magnoliopsida; Malpighiales; Euphorbiaceae. The record is from RNAcentral.
UUUUUAAAUGGAACCUAUGGAAAUGCACAGAAUCAGCAAGUAAAGGAUGAAUAACAUUUUAUUUAAAACAACCUCUAAAUAGAGGUGACACAAUUUUAUCCAAUUUCUGUGACAUCUAGGUGAAACUAAUAAAAUCCCAGGAGUAAAUUCGCUGUUGCACGUGUUAGAUCUAACAGCAUCACACUGCCUGGAUCACACCCCCCACUUCAACAGCAGCAACAUGAUCAAAUCAAAUGAUAGAUGGCCUUAAUAUGAUAAAUUGACACUUAACAAACCUCCAUACACAACUGCAAUCUAUAGUUGGUUCAAACUUCCAGUGUAGGCAUCACUUUAUAUAAUUACAUACAAUUGAAUUGCAAAUGCAGACCAAAGUUAACUUUUACACAAUUUUCGAAUUCAAUUAUUUCAGAAACAAAAUGUACCAUAAUAAUAGAAUUAUACGACCAAAAGAAAAGUAAAAGAAAUUCAAUGUAAUUUCUCUCGCAAAUUAAAAAAAAAAAAUUUCCAAUUUCAUUCUCAAGUCCUACAUUCCAAAAACAAAUGAUGACACAUUCUUGAAAUGCAGUAGGAUUCAUGACUAGUUCAGAAAUCAUAUUCUAAUAAUUCCUGCUUUCAUUCCCAUUCUUUGAAAAAAAAA